This 1098-nucleotide ribosomal RNA is filed under the name Triticum aestivum (bread wheat). RNAcentral describes it as "partial small subunit ribosomal RNA". The record is from RNAcentral. Lineage: Eukaryota; Viridiplantae; Streptophyta; Magnoliopsida; Poales; Poaceae.
AUGCUACCACUACCCGUCCACUUGUCCUUCAUGCGCGGCCACUACUGGGUGGGCAUGAAGGCCAACUGGAUCGUCCUCAUCCACCAAUCCGGUAGUCCGUGGCGUCUCGUGGAUAUGUACACCCAGCGAGAGAUCACCCUUCCAUCUUUGGAUACCGCCGCCAUCGAGCCUCGCGGCCCGCCGGACACUCCUGCCUACUACGCACGAGACGCAGUUGAUAUGAUAACUGUAGACCUGAAAUCAUACCAGCCGAUGGGUGGUGGUUUAUCGCUUGUUCAGCUGACGGUGAAAGAUCCCAGCUCUGUUGGGCCAGGCGUAUUCAACUGGAGGCGGGUUUACAGCCUCGGCAACCACUCCAUGUUCCUCGGGCUCAAUUAUAUGAUCAUCCAACCAAUCAUCGAUCAUAUCACCAGUGAUGAUUACCGUGCUAUGCAACUUCCAUUCGCCAGGGGGACUGUGUUUACACAUCAUACCAUGGGUUUCAUGAAUCACCAUAUCCAGAGAUUCGUCGACGCAGCUUGUUGCCAGAUAAUCUUCAGUCAUAUAACUGGAAUUAACCCAUGCAAGUCGAAGAAGGAUUGGUCGGUGCUGCCGGCUGGCGUCAAGUUCGAUCCCACGGAUCAGGAGCUGAUCGAGCACCUUGAGGCCAAAGUGAGUGCUGACAGCGCGAGAUCUCACCCUCUCAUCGAUUUGUUCAUACCAACCAUCGACAGCGAGCACGACAUAUGCUACACCCAUCCUGAGAAACUUCCAGGUAUCACACUGAGUGGCCUAAGCAAGCAUUUCUUCCAGCGCAAUUCCAGGGCGUUCAAAAGGGGCACGUGGACGCGUCGCAAGAUACAGUCGAAGUGCGGCAUGCACGCGAUGUGGCUCAACACCGGCAAUACCUUGCCGGUGAUGGUCAACGGCCGGCAGACGGACAGCAAAAAGGUUCUGGUGCUGCACACCAACAAGAACUUCGACCAGCAGAGGACCAACUGGGUGAUGCACCAGUACCACCUCGGGGACCUGGAGCAAGAGAAGGAGCGGGAGCUGGUCCUCUGCAAGAUUUUCUACCAGACGAACACUAGGGCCAGGAGUAAAAAGAUUAUAAGUUAG